UGGAUUUGAUCUAUUUCUAGUGGCGGACGGGUGAGUAACGCGUGGGUAACCUGCCUUAUACAGGGGGAUAACAGUCAGAAAUGGCUGCUAAUACCGCAUAAGCGCACAGAGCUGCAUGGCUCAGUGUGAAAAACUCCGGUGGUAUAAGAUGGGCCCGCGUCUGAUUAGCUGGUUGGCAGGGUAACGGCCUACCAAGGCGACGAUCCAUAGCCGGCCUGAGAGGGUGAACGGCCACAUUGGGACUGAGACACGGCCCAGACUCC
This 263-nucleotide ribosomal RNA is filed under the name uncultured Blautia sp. RNAcentral's name for it is "partial 16S ribosomal RNA". It matches the Rfam family "Bacterial small subunit ribosomal RNA", at positions 74 to 339 of the family's 1533-position model. The record is from RNAcentral. Lineage: Bacteria; Bacillati; Bacillota; Clostridia; Lachnospirales; Lachnospiraceae.